CUACGGGUCGCAGCAGUGGGGAAUACUGCACAAUGGAGGAAACUCUGAUGCAGCAACGCCGCGUGGAGGAUGACACUUUUCGGAGCGUAAACUCCUUUUAUAUAGGAAGAAGAUGACGGUACUAUAUGAAUAAGCGCCGGCUAACUCCGUGCCAGCAGCCGCGGUAAUACGGAGGGCGCAAGCGUUACUCGGAAUCACUGGGCGUAAAGAGCGUGUAGGCGGAUUAAAAAGUCAGAAGUGAAAUCCUAUAGCUUAACUAUAGAACUGCUUCUGAAACUCUUAAUCUAGAAUAUGGGAGAGGUAGAUGGAAUUUCUGGUGUAGGGGUAACAUCCGUAGAGAUCAGAAGGAAUACCGAUUGCGAAGGCGAUCUACUAGAACAUUAUUGACGCUGAGACGCGAAAGCGUGGGGAGCAAACAGGAUUAGAUACCCCAGUAGUC
This 439-nucleotide ribosomal RNA is filed under the name uncultured bacterium. Its description in RNAcentral is "partial 16S ribosomal RNA". It matches the Rfam family "Bacterial small subunit ribosomal RNA", at positions 339 to 795 of the family's 1533-position model. The record is from RNAcentral.